AUGUGGGAUUCUGCAACAAGGUCAGACAAACCUGAGGAUAUAGGUGGUCAAGAGGUUCAGAUUAUUCAGAAGGAAGAUUUUGAUAAACAAGUGCAACGGGAAGUGCAGAGGAGGAUGAACAUUUUCCUUCAGCAAAAAGAGGUGAAACGACUCAGAGAACAAUUGCUCAAGAGCAGUAAAAGGCUGACUUUCAGAGGCAGUAUAAAGAGGAGCCGGCUGCUCUGGAUAAUGAACAUGGCACCAUCUCCCUUUCUGAUGGUGCUGAUGACACUAUCACAUCUCAAGAUAGGGGGAGCAGAAUCUCUGAUCAAAUUCCAGAUGAGGUGGAGGGCAUUGACAGUAAGGCAUAUAGGGAUGAUCUUGAAUGAAACCAACAAAUGUCAGAUUUCUGAACCUGGGGUGGAGAACAAUGAGUUUACUUCUUCGAGGGCAGAUCAUGAUCAAGACAACACAGUGAGGAGGAGCUCAAGACUUGCGAGGGUCGAAAACUUGGAGAUCCAAAAGGACAAUGGCUAUGAGGAGGAUGGAGGCGCAGCUUCUACUUAUUUAUUGUCACAAAAAGAAACACAUUAUGCAGCAGAGGAUUAA
Molecule: ribosomal RNA, 588 nt
Filed under: Triticum aestivum (bread wheat)
Lineage: Eukaryota; Viridiplantae; Streptophyta; Magnoliopsida; Poales; Poaceae
Description: partial small subunit ribosomal RNA
Source: RNAcentral